Molecule: long non-coding RNA, 3186 nt
Organism: Silurus meridionalis
Lineage: Eukaryota; Metazoa; Chordata; Actinopteri; Siluriformes; Siluridae
Exons: 6
Source: RefSeq, a predicted model, not a curated record
GAGGAAUUGCUAGUGUGGCAGACUGUAAGUGUGGUUAGUGCUACUGUUAUACAAGCUCACUGGGUUUGAGAACAGGCCCAGCACACCUAGAAUACGGCCCGCCCGGGUAUCCUUUAAACCGAUGCCACGGACCCUGAAUGCAGUGGAAGACAUGAGCCAAUCCCUGGUCGAGGACGUCUCCCCUUCCACUGCCCCUGGCCUUUCAGAUCUUGAUUUGGAACCGCUUUGCCCCGCUCCCACAUGACAAUGAUUCUUGGAGAUUCCAUCAUCCAGCAUUGACUCCGCGCUCCUUAAGUCAAAGGUAAGGUAAACACUCGCUGUUUUCCUGGUGCUCGUGUUCUCGAUGUCUCUGCACAGGUACCCACGAACCUGAAAAAGAACUUUGGAACUGUUCUUCAUGCCGGAACAAGCGACACCAGGGUGAGGCAAACAGAUCUUAAAGAGGGAUUUCAGAAUCCUGGUGGAGACGGUAUGCAGCACAUUGCCCACGAUGAGUGGAGUGUCAGGACCACUUACAAGCGAGGAAUUGAGCAAAUUUUCUCUGGGCGUGUCCUAGGUUUUUCUGUCCUGAUGGCACCACAGCAGAGUUGAAGCUACAGUUCUAUCAGACAACAUCUCCAGGAUGUUGCAUACCCUCUAACUGGCGGCGCUACAGAGCCCUACUGCCAUGCCCAUGUUCCAGUCUUUGACCGGUCCUAACGGCAGAUGACUUUGACAUCCGCCAUUCAAUCCAUUGUCAGAGAGAGACUUGGGCAACAUAUGGACAUCGGCGGAAUCGCCAAACUCUUCAGAAAUAACCCCAACAACAUUAAUGAUCUGUGGGAAAAGCUAAGUGACCUCUGAUUGCUUCAAGAACUUGGCAUCACCUGCUGCAGACUGAUUGAGGUGGGGGCAUUAAAAGGGGUGUGCAAGGAAGUGGAAAGCAAGUGGGGCUAGUGCUAAGCUAAAGGUUAACCCUAGCUGGCCUGCUCUACCUUCCAUCUUGCUUGUAAACGUCUUCUCCCUGGACAAUACAUUGGACUACAUCAGACUCCAGCAAGCUACUCAAUGUGAGUACAGAUUCUGCUGUGUCUUUUGUUUUAAUGGCACUGUGGCUGCGCAAUUGAGAGUUCCGGAUACCGUUAUUCAGCUGGAGGGGCUAGCCCUGUGCGGUAAGACCCGUGGCGGACUAUGUUUAUCAACAUGGAUUGGUCUAAUAUCUCUGUCCUUGUUUCCACCUAUUGCUCACCGCUGGUGGAGUUUGAUUCAGUUGUGACCCUUAUUUACCCUGGGAUUUCACCACAGUUAUCGUACUUGGAGUGUACAUUCCUCAAAGCACUAAUGCUAAGGAGGCACUCCGUGUACUCAAUGGGGCCAUAAGCAAACUGCAGAACACGCACCCUGACGAACUGUCACCGGAGAUUUCAAUCAUGCAAAUCUCAGGACUGUGCUCCCUAAAUUUCAUCAGCAUGUGGACUUUGCACACACAGGGUUGCAUAAACGAGCUGAAUGUUUAUAGAAACAUCCUGGGCGUAUACUGGGCAAAACUCCACCCCACCUUGGCUACUCGGCCCACAUCUGUUAUGCUGAGCCCAGGAUACAGACCUCGUAACAGUCUUUCAAAGCCAGUUCACAUGCAGGCGAGAACUUGGCCAGCAGGAGCCAUCUCUUUUCUUCAGGACUGCUUUGAAUGAACUGGGACAUGUGUAGGGAGGUUGCUACCAAUGGUGAAGUCACUGAAUUGGAGUACACCUUGUUAGUGACCAGCUAUGUCAAGACCAUCACAUCUCCAAGAUAAUCACCAUACACUCUGACCAAAAGUUGUGGAUGACCCAAAGGUGUGUGCGCUGCUAAAAAAUAGAGCCUUCAGAAAAGGGUUCAAAGAACAUCAAGGGUCAAACUGUCCCAAAGCGCGUGCACUGAGAAUUCACGGCACUUUCCAGGACUGUGGAGACACCGGCACAUGUGGCAAUACAUCCAGGCUAUCAACUUCAUCUACCCGUGACAGUGAUGCAUCCCUCCCAAAUGUGCUAAAUGACUGUUUGUUCCGUUGUUCCGUUUGCGUGGUGGCAAGAAAGAACACCCCUCCUCCCAACCACCAAGAGCCCUGUCUAACCACAGCUGAAGUAAGAAACUCCUAUGCAGACUUAACCCAUGGGAGUCUGCUGGACCCGACAACAUUCCUGGCAGAGUGGUCAGGGAAUGUGCAAAACAACUAGUGGAUGUUUUAAGUCACUGCCUCAAGACAAUGACCAUUGUCUCUGUGCUUAAGAAGUCUACAAUCUCCCUGCCUAAGGAACUUUUGUCCCAUAGCACUCACCAAUUGUAAUGAAGUGCUUAGAGAGGCUGCUCAAGAGGCACAAAGACCCAGCUAACAUCCUCACUGGGUGUUAUUUGGUGUUUGAUUUGCAAUUUGUGUAUCAUCCAAACCAUUCCACAGAUGAAGUUAGACACGACCCACCAUCUGGCCCUCAGCCACCUGGACAAUAAGGACAAGUACAAAUGCUAUUCAUCGACAUUAUGGACGACCCCAAACACCCCUUGUAUACACUUUAACAGCUAUCAGGCCCUCACAUCCAGACUGUGCUAGUUUCAUCACGAUCUACUGACUCAUGAUGUGCAGACUGAUCUAUUUGGGCUCUCUCCACUGCUCAUGCCCUGGUCGCCACUGAACACUGGACUUCUUUCACUCCUUAAGAUAAGUGCAUCCUCACUUAACUCCAAUAGGCAGUGGUUCCAUUGCAACAUCCUGAUUUUCUCCUUUGCCAAUCUUUGGUUUUACACUAUAAAUAACUUGACAUUAAAUUUACAUUUCUGGCAUUUAGCAGAUGCCCUUGUACAAAGCGAGGUACAAAAGUGCUUUGUGUUAAGUUUGUAAUCUAGCAUACCAGUAUAGAUUUAUUAAUUGCUGGAGACUCAAAGUUGUAGGCUGAUUUUUAUCUUGUUUUUAAACAAAAAUAAAUAAAACUUGGAAAAGAUCUGAGCAGAAGUUGUGGUAUCUGAGUUGAGUGUCAUCAGCAUAGCAGUGGUAAGGAAACCCAUGUAAGGAUGAGUAUAGAGGGAGAAAAAGAUUAUCCAAUUAUCAUGUAACUUUUGCUUUUAGUUGUAGGCUAAUCCAAGUUAGUAAUCCAGCAUACCAGUGUAUAUUUUAUUUAUUCAUUGAUUAAAGCACUUUUGUAUGUUGCUCUGGACAAGGUGUUUGCUAAA